This 735-nucleotide ribosomal RNA is filed under the name uncultured Bacillota bacterium. RNAcentral describes it as "bacterial SSU rRNA". It matches the Rfam family "Bacterial small subunit ribosomal RNA", at positions 180 to 892 of the family's 1533-position model. The record is from RNAcentral. Lineage: Bacteria; Bacillati; Bacillota.
CCGACCGUUCCUGCGGUUGGGACGAAAGGUGGCCUCUCUAUAGAAGCUGCCGCUGGGGGAUGGGCUCGCGCACCAUUAGCUUGUUGGUAGGGUAACGGCCUACCAAGGCUACGAUGGGUAGCUGGUCUGAGAGGACGGCCAGUCACACUGGAACUGAGACACGGUCCAGACUCCUACGGGAGGCAGCAGUGGGGAAUAUUGCACAAUGGGGGAAACCCUGAUGCAGCAACGCCGCGUGCGGGAUGAAGGUCUUCGGGUCGUAAACCGCUGUCAGGAGGGAAGAAAUCGCCCCGGUAAAUAGCCGGGGUGGAUGACGGUACCUCCAGAGGAAGCCCCGGCUAACUCCGUGCCAGCAGCCGCGGUAAGACGGAGGGGGCGAGCGUUGUUCGGAAUUAUUGGGCGUAAAGCGCGCGUAGGCGGUCGGGUCAGUCGGACGUGAAAGCCCAGGGCUCAACCCUGGAAGGGCGUUCGAUACUGCCCGACUUGAGUACGGGAGAGGAGAGCGGAAUUCCCAGUGUAGCGGUGAAAUGCGUAGAUAUUGGGAGGAACACCAGUGGCGAAGGCGGCUCUCUGGACCGUUACUGACGCUGAGGUGCGAAAGCUAGGGGAGCAAACGGGAUUAGAUACCCCGGUAGUCCUAGCCGUAAACGAUGGGCACUAGGUGUUGGGGGUAUCGACCCCUCCAGUGCCGGAGCUAACGCAUUAAGUGCCCCGCCUGGGGAGUACGGUCGCAAG